RNAcentral lists this long non-coding RNA (191 nucleotides) under Mus musculus (house mouse). RNAcentral describes it as "RIKEN cDNA 9230110F11 gene". The record is from RNAcentral. Lineage: Eukaryota; Metazoa; Chordata; Mammalia; Rodentia; Muridae.
CUGCCUCUGUGUUUGUUUCUGUUUGUCAUCGCUGACAAAACUUGUUUGUCCUUACCCACCUAGCCUUGAGAACCCACAUCCCAGGGACUCCCAUAUUUGACUGGGGUGGUCCGUGGCAGAUGGAGCUGCAAAAUGGGACUUGAAGCAGUCCUUUCCUUCAUGUCUACAGCCAAAAGAGAUAUUUACAAGCU